AACAUAAUUUCUGUUGAUCUUCUUUGAAAGGAAAUAAAAUAGUCAUUAACUUUUAAUCCGUAUAUUCCCGAUUAGCAAAUCCAUCUAUACCGAGCAAAGCACCAAAAACAAUUACUGAAGCAAUUCCUCUGGAUCCUCCUCCCGAUCCACAUGGAUCAUCAGAAGAAGCCUUUUCAUUCAGGUCGGCUUUCUUCCUCCUCUUGAUUCUCAUCUCCGGUAUGUAUGCAUCUGUUAAUUAUAACUACGUUUUUCCUUCCAUCUCAAUCAUCGUCGAUCGAAUUCAUACUGAUUCCUGCAAUGUUUCAGGUGGGAAGAACGCAAUAAUGGAGGGAGUGGAAGGAAGAAACGUAGGCAUCCCAUGCGAUACGGUGAUGGAUUGCACUCCACAGGGGAAUUGCGAAUGUAGAAUGGGACUUUGCUUUUGCCAUGCUGAGCCUGAACAGCUCUUCCCUAACACGAUGGAGAGUAGGAAGAAAUUCCAAGGCAUUAAAAUUACGGCAAUUUGAUCUGUUAUUAUGUUUUGAUAACGAAGCACUUCUUCGACGAGUAUCAUAUUUAAUGCUGUAGCAAGUUAGACAAAUUCUAAGGCACAAUGAUUCGUUCUAGGCAAAGUCCCAUACAUGAUCGAGUCCUACCGACGCUGCAAGCCGAGAAUUCCCGAUAAAUCGGAAAAUCCAUUUACACCGCUAGGCGGAACAUUGGUAAUUCAGCAACUUACGCAUCUCUUCCAAACUAUGUAAGGAUUUCAUUUCAUAGUCCAAUAAUCAUCACUGAUCGUCGACAUAGAUACAUGGAGGUGCUUAAAUCAUCCAAUUUCGGGUAACCCAAAAUGCAAAAUUAAAAGGACCCUAUUACCUUCGUUUUCUUCGUCGAUCCAAUGCUUCAGUUUUUGGUGAAUUUAUGAAGUGCGCACUGAAAAGAAGAAAUAUAAGUGGGAAUAUAUAUACACUGGGGAACCUUACUAAUCAUCUGUAUAGAACUGGCCAGAGAGACUGUCCAUGAGUCCGAACUGCAUGUUCUCCGAUGGCUUCCAAUGCCGCUUCCGUUGGUUUAUGAACCAGUUGUUUAUCUGCUUCUGAUCCAGCCCCGUCGAUUCCGCCAACGCCAUCUUAUCAGC
RNAcentral lists this long non-coding RNA (1117 nucleotides) under Linum usitatissimum (flax). RNAcentral's name for it is "long non-coding RNA (LUSI_LNC005835)". Lineage: Eukaryota; Viridiplantae; Streptophyta; Magnoliopsida; Malpighiales; Linaceae. The record is from RNAcentral.